Molecule: long non-coding RNA, 214 nt
Organism: Arabidopsis thaliana (thale cress)
Lineage: Eukaryota; Viridiplantae; Streptophyta; Magnoliopsida; Brassicales; Brassicaceae
Product: other RNA
Exons: 1
Source: RefSeq
GGUCUCUAAAACGUCUCCUUUCAAAUCAAAAUUACCUCAAAAGUUGAAGAGAUUUAUUUGGUAAAGGAAUUAACUACGGAAAAAACAACCCCUCUUUCUGUUGAUGCAUGGGUCUGCUCUUUUCCAAUCUUAUCUCCCAAAAUUAAACAAGUCCAAGAGUUUUCUAUAUCGAACAAUUGACAUAUCGAGGGAGAGUGAGAAAGAGAGAUCUUCU